AGUGAACGCUGGCGGUAGGCCUAACACAUGCAAGUCGAACGGCAGCACAGUAAGAGCUUGCUCCUACGGGUGGCGAGUGGCGGACGGGUAAGGAAUACAUCGGAAUCUACUUUUUCGUGGGGGAUAACGUAGGGAAACUUACGCUAAUACAGCAUACGACCUACGGGUGAAAGCAGGGGAUCUUCGCACCUUGCGCGAUUCAAUGAGCCGAUGUCGGAUUAGCUAGUUGGCGGGGUAAAGGCCCACCAAGGCGACGAUCCGUAGCUGGUCUGAGAGGAUGAUCAGCCACACUGGAACUGAGACACGGUCCAGACUCCUACGGGAGGCAGCAGUGGGGAAUAUUGGACAAUGGGCGCAAGCCUGAUCCAGCCAUACCGCGUGGGUGAAGAAGGCCUUCGGGUUGUAAAGCCCUUUUGUUGGGAAAGAAAAGCAGCAGGUUAAUACCCCGCUGUUCUGACGGUACCCAAAGAAUAAGCACCGGCUAACUUCGUG
RNAcentral lists this ribosomal RNA (492 nucleotides) under uncultured bacterium. Its description in RNAcentral is "partial 16S ribosomal RNA". It matches the Rfam family "Bacterial small subunit ribosomal RNA", at positions 29 to 507 of the family's 1533-position model. The record is from RNAcentral.